This is a long non-coding RNA of Fundulus heteroclitus (mummichog), 203 nucleotides long. RefSeq lists it as uncharacterized. The record is from RefSeq and is a predicted model, not a curated record. Lineage: Eukaryota; Metazoa; Chordata; Actinopteri; Cyprinodontiformes; Fundulidae. The transcript is spliced from 2 exons.
CAAGUCUCCUCAAUGGCCUCUCCCAAAGCUAUAUAUGGCGUCUGGACCCCCGGGGUAGAAUUUGUCCAAACACCCUGGAGAGGACACAGAAAAGACAGGCACCAGCAACCAACCUCACUCAUCAAUGAGGAGCAGCUGUGCAGAGCCCAAAACAAAGGCCACAUACCAAUCGCCAAAAUGCUCAAUAAAUAUAAUUAAAACUU